Non-coding RNA from Aedes albopictus (Asian tiger mosquito), 72 nucleotides. Lineage: Eukaryota; Metazoa; Arthropoda; Insecta; Diptera; Culicidae. The record is from Rfam.
GGCUUAGUAGGUUAGUUAGUAAAACAUUUGUCUAGCGCAUAAGGGCCAUGAGUUCAAAUCUCACCUGAGCUG